UGGGGAAUCUUGGGCAAUGGGCGCAAGCCUGACCCAGCCAUGCCGCGUGUGUGAAGAAGGCCUUCGGGUUGUAAAGCACUUUCAGUGGUGAAGAAAAGCCUGAGGCUAAUACCCUCGGGUCUUGACGUUAGCCACAGAAGAAGCACCGGCUAACUCCGUGCCAGCAGCCGCGGUAAUACGGAGGGUGCGAACGUUAAUCGGAAUUACUGGGCGUAAAGCGCGCGUAGGCGGUUCGAUAAGUGGGAUGUGAAAGCCCCGGGCUCAACCUGGGAAUUGCAUUCCAAACUGUCGGGCUAGAGUAUGGUAGAGGGAGGUGGAAUUUCCUGUGUAGCGGUGAAAUGCGUAGAUAUAGGAAGGAACACCAGUGGCGAAGGCGGCCUCCUGGACCAAUACUGACGCUGAGGCGCGAAAGCGUGGGGAGCAAACA
RNAcentral lists this ribosomal RNA (427 nucleotides) under uncultured bacterium. RNAcentral describes it as "bacterial SSU rRNA". It matches the Rfam family "Bacterial small subunit ribosomal RNA", at positions 355 to 774 of the family's 1533-position model. The record is from RNAcentral.